Molecule: long non-coding RNA, 204 nt
Filed under: Drosophila guanche
Lineage: Eukaryota; Metazoa; Arthropoda; Insecta; Diptera; Drosophilidae
Source: RNAcentral
CUGAACUACUUUAAAAUUUGGAUCAAUAUUGGGUUGCGGAAGGGAUUGGGGAAGGUUAUUGGGGAAAACGGACCAUUCGGGCCCCACGUUGGGCGCCAUUUAUUAUGUAACGGACACGGGAAGUGUCGUCUCGUCAGCACUCUCUGUCUACUAAAAGUUUGCCGGCUAGGCUCAGGGAAAAUGGUGCUGCGAAAACGAACUCCG